This 648-nucleotide ribosomal RNA is filed under the name uncultured bacterium. RNAcentral describes it as "bacterial SSU rRNA". It matches the Rfam family "Bacterial small subunit ribosomal RNA", at positions 337 to 974 of the family's 1533-position model. The record is from RNAcentral.
UCCUACGGGAGGCAGCAGUGGGGAAUCUUGCGCAAUGGGCGAAAGCCUGACGCAGCGACGCCGCGUGGGGGAGGAAGCUCCUCGGAGUGUAAACCCCUGUCAGGAGGGAAGAACGGGCAGAAGAGGAAAUGCUUCUGUUUUGACGGUACCUCCAAAGGAAGCACCGGCUAACUCUGUGCCAGCAGCCGCGGUAAUACAGAGGGUGCGAGCGUUGUUCGGAAUUACUGGGCGUAAAGCGCGCGCAGGCGGUCCUUUAAGUCUACCCGUGAAAUGCCGGAGCUCAACUCCGCGCACGCCGGGGGAUACUGGAGGACUGGAGACGAGUAGAGGCAAGCGGAAUUCCGGGUGUAGCGGUGGAAUGCGUAGAGAUCCGGAAGAACACCGGAGGCGAAGGCGGCUUGCUGGGCUUGGUCUGACGCUGAGGCGCGAAAGCGUGGGGAGCGAACAGGAUUAGAUACCCUGGUAGUCCACGCCGUAAACGAUGGGCACUAGACGCGGGUGGGAUCGACCCCUUCCGUGUCGCAGCUAACGCGCUAAGUGCCCCGCCUGGGGAGUACGGCCGCAAGGCUGAAACUCAAAGGAAUUGACGGGGGCCCGCACAAGCGGUGGAGCAUGUGGUUUAAUUCGAAGCAACGCGAAGAACCUUAC